This is a long non-coding RNA of Lutra lutra (Eurasian river otter), 1982 nucleotides long. RefSeq lists it as uncharacterized. Lineage: Eukaryota; Metazoa; Chordata; Mammalia; Carnivora; Mustelidae. The transcript is spliced from 4 exons. The record is from RefSeq and is a predicted model, not a curated record.
CCGGCUGCCGGCCGGGCAGGUGCGGCGGGUUCUCCGCAGCCCCGGAUGCCCCCGCGCCCAGAAACUCGAGGAGGCGGGUGGACCGGCCGCCCUGAGCGCCCGACGGACAGCGGGGUCUCCCUCCAGGACCGCCGCCCCCAAGCCCGCGCGGCUGUGUGCGUGGUGCGGGGCGGGGGGAGUCGUCAGGGAGAUUGGAAGGGAAGGAGGCCGGGUCUUGUCUUUUCUCGUCUGCCCUUCUUCCAGGUGGGAGCGUGAGGACUAAAGAAGACGACUGGCUUCUCCAACGCCCGCCCCACCACAGCUCCCUAUCUGGGGUGACCCCCCCCCCCCAACACACACGCACCGAAACAGUGCAAACACUCCUUCCUGCAGCACUGUCGUGGCCAGAGGCAGGACUAACGGCUGGGUAACAAAGGGACGCUGGGUGACGGUGCCCAGGCCUCUGUCCUGCCCCCCCCCCCAAUAAAAUAAAGGCUUGUUUCCAGGGCGGGGCUCAGUACCUGGCCAACCACCGUGUUCGGGUAACAGCAUAAGGAAUAGACCUCCAGACACCCUCUCAUUUGGCCCCAGCCUGGAAUAUCAGAUGGCCUGGCGUCUUCUAAAGCCCUUAUUAUAUUGGUUUGCAUGUUGGGACGGCAGGUAGGAACGCAUCUUCCCUCACCUCCAGCACACCUGGCAGGUGGAUGUCACACCCAGAGGUCAGACAAGCAUAGCCAACUUCUCUCAACCCAAAAGAGGGAAAGGAGGUGCUGAAAGACUCCUUACUUGUACAUCUGUAUGCUGGAUAGUAAGACUCUCAGUCGUGUGGGAAAUAGUGCAUGUCUAGCACUUUCCACCAUGCAUGGCACCUAGCAAGCAAGCCUCCCUGGUAUCAUCCAUCUUGUGCCAACUUAGGGAAUAAGGAAGCGGUAGAAUAAGUUGGACCUGCGACAUUUGUAUGGGCACUCCUGGUUGCAAGUAACAGAAGCCCAAUCCCAGCUGGAUUACGCUGAGGGGCAAUGCAUUGUCAGGUAACAGAGAGGUUUAGGGUAUGCUGGUUUCAAGCCUGCCAGGACCAAGGACCCAUAGUGUCCUCAGCUCUUGGUCUCCAGCUCUUUCGAUGCCUCUACUUUCCAUGGGCUGGCUUCCCCCUCAGCAAGGCUGUCUCUGGAAAGCACAGCCACUCCAGGCUUGCCCCCUAUUAGCCAGUAGCCAGUCACUGUCCACCACUGGGGUGGCAUUGCCAAGCACGGAUCAGCUGUGUCAAUUAGGCCAAAGGGAAGAGCAGCCCCACUGGAACCAUGCAGAAAGAUUGGGACAUGGGUGCUUCACAAGGUCGUCUAGGGGCACUCUGAGCAGAAGUGUAUGUGCAGAGCAGGCAAACACAAGAGGAGCUCAUCAAAGGACUGUGCAGUACAGAUCCCAAAGCCUACGAAGAUUUCUGCUAAGACAUCAAGUCACAGAGCCAGGCAGGCCCUCCUCCCCACAGCAGGCCUUGAGUUAUUCAACCUAGAUGCCCUAUUUCUCUCUAGACCUUCACCUCUCUGGACCAAACACCCCAGAAAAACCCCUCUCCCCAAUAUUGCUUCUUAGACCAUGCGCCUUCUUCCUGCUUACCUUUCUCUGCAUGGGUCCUAUUUGACUCAGUGUCCCUUGUGAACCUUGGGGACCCCACUUACCACCUAUUCAAGGCACUCCUUCCCCUCGCUGAGGAGACAGUGACCCCAGGCUCUACUCAGACUGCCGGUAAGGACAAGCUUCCCAGCUGCAGAACCGGCCACCCGAUAUCCCAGGACAAGCAGUUUUGACCUUGAGCCUUCUUUGAUGACAGGGGGCUGACUGCAUUCACCUAAGUGGACCCCAUCAACUGACUUUCUUCUGCUCAACUACAGAACGACACCAACCUGAACUUCAUUUACUAGGACCUAUGACUUUCGCCCCACGUUCAGAGGACACUCAGAGAUUGUCUGCUCGGGGGGCGCCCAGGUGGCUCAGGCUGUUGA